Molecule: non-coding RNA, 2528 nt
Organism: Leptonychotes weddellii (Weddell seal)
Lineage: Eukaryota; Metazoa; Chordata; Mammalia; Carnivora; Phocidae
Source: RefSeq, a predicted model, not a curated record
GAGAGAGACAGAUAUCGAUGCUGGACUAGGACUGAGGGGAAAAACCAAGAGAGAAACAGACAUCAGUUACAGAAACUGACCUAAGGAAGAAAGAGGCCAUAUUUCAGACUAGGACUGUAGGAGAAAAGAAGGAAGACUGAAGGAGAAGGAAGAAAGAGCUCUACAGGUAACAACAGUGUCAAGAUGAAGGAUUUCUUGACACAUCGAGGGGCAGCCCCACGUAGGAAUCCCCCAGGAAGCCUCAGAGAGCUGCCAGAGGCCCCUGGAAGGAGAGCCCCACCACUCCCUCUCUCCCACCCAAGGACAGCAUUUGCAGGUGCCCAUCUCGGAUAUGUGGGCUCCUUCAGAGGCAGGCAUGCAUUCUCCUCCCUGGUCCCAUUACUGGACCACGAUGAGCCUGAAGACUUGGCCCCUCCUCCCAGCCCUCUCUGGUUUCAGAAAACCUCAAGAGCUUCCCACCAAGUUACCAAGGCAACUGCAGCCCCGCAGGAUUCACAGUGACAAUGGAGAGAAGGCAGAGACUGACAACAGCCCCACAUCUCAAGGAGAGCAGGGAGACAGAGGCUUCAGACCAGAGCAAACAUCCCCUGCAUCCCUGCUCAAGGAACUGUUUUCCUGCAGUUUGUGAGCUGACACAGCCCAGUCCCAGUAUUCUGGAAGACCUAUUACUUUAAGGUUCACAGCAACCCCGAGGCCUUGUGGGAUGAGGUGGAGCUCCUGCAGAGCAGCCUCUAGGGAGAACCAAUGAUGCUGGGUUCUGAUGUUAGAAACCAGGUCUUGAGGAUGACUCAGUCACGGCCUCCCCCAGAAUAAACUCACAGACUCGGGCCUGUGUCCUCAACUCUGCUGGCAAGAAAGCCUUUGUCUCCAGCCCAACGAUACCGUCUUCCACACCAGCCACCAUGCCCUGGACUCUCUCCUCAUUGUUUGGACAGAGAAGAUAUGGAGGUGCUAGAAGCCAAAGGCCAGGCUUUUCUUCUAGGGCUGCGGAAGCUGUCACCCUCCUUGUGCCCAUAAAUCAGUGCCCCCACAGGCCCUGUUAACUGGAAAGGAGGAACUCCUGACGGUUGGUGGCUGUGGGAUGACUGGGUGGGGGAUGAGGAAAUCUGAGGGACACAACUGGAAAAAAAAAAGCAGGAGCUGGGCCUUGGGAAGCCACCCCUUCCAGGGUUUCCCUGAGGGCAGAGAAGCCCCUGCUGUGUCAGCUCCAGGUUAGGAAUGUGCCACACCCCUGCUCAGCACUCCCUGCCUCACCCCACCUCUAUGUGCCUCCUAGAUAGGUACAGGAACAGUCACAGAGGACAGUUAGGUCUGGAAGAGAAAAAGGUUGUUUUUGUUUUCUCCCCAUGAGGAAGAGCCUAGUGGGCAGGACAUGGGCAAUAGCAACACAGAUUAAUCUGGAAGUCAUUCUGAAGAAAAUUCAGCUCCCCAAAGAUAGCCAAACCAGGGUCAGGUGCUGGGGACUGGUAAGAGGCAAGAGUUAUACUGUCCCCAUACUGGGACCCACCUGGCCUUGGCCAUGGUUCCUGGACGGAGACCUGCCCUACUAGCGGAUCUCCUCAAGGCAGAAGUCCGAUUCCUUCCAGCCCAAGGAGUCUCAGGGACAAGCUAGAAAAGCCUCUUUCUCAAGUCUCUGUCUCUGCCUGCCAGAAAGAGAUUGCUUCCAGUUCCCAGAGGGCCUGCCCUACUCACCCUCCGAUUGACAGGUGGACAGACAAAAUUUCCCGUGUUCUCAAAGUUCAGGCUAAAGACAGCAGCCGAGAAUCCUCUCGUUGGGAUGACCCAGGAGCGCCCCCUGCUGUCUGAUUUGGCUGAGGGCUGGAGGAAGGAAGGAGUAUUGAAGCAGAUUAUAGUUGCCCCAGCAGAACGGGCCACGCUUUAUGUUGCCUCUUCUGUACACUGCCAGAGCCUGAAUCAGAGCUGGACUUCCUUAGCGGUCUCUCAGGAAGGGAAUUACCAGAGAACUGUUGACCAGGGACAAGGACACAUGGGGACCCUGCAGCCUGGCCCCUGGGCACAGGCCCAGAGCGCUGCGGAGGCUGUCCAGUUUGCAGGUGUUCCUGGCUUCAGGAGAAAAGUCAUGUUCUGUAGCAAAAUCAGUCUUCUCCUCUGAGCCUCAAGAGAGAAGAGGCUAUACCACACUCAGUGAAUCAUCUCAGUGAGUGUGUGGUGGUGGGGGGUCUCUGCCAGCCUUGGGGAGCACAGGAGAGAGCCCACUUCUCCCCAGCAACUCCCCCAGGUGCCAGGGGGACAUGUCCAAAUUUACCAUUGAUUAUACAGAUAACAAUAGCUGUUUCCAAAAGGACCUCUGGCUCCAUGUCUGCAAGCUCAGGAGAGACUUAAAGACUCUUCAGGUCUCUUGAGCUCCAACAUCCUAUGAGCCUAUAGGAUUCUACAGCCCAUCCCUAGUGGCUGUCUUCUCUCCCAACCACACACCACUUCCUGCUCCCAGUUCUUCCUUUAAUCUGAUUUAAACUCCUCUUCCUGGGGCGCCUGGAUGGCUCAGUCAGUUAGGCAUCUGCCUUCCU